Cucurbita pepo subsp. pepo (vegetable marrow) is the source of this 204-nucleotide non-coding RNA. The record is from RefSeq and is a predicted model, not a curated record. Lineage: Eukaryota; Viridiplantae; Streptophyta; Magnoliopsida; Cucurbitales; Cucurbitaceae.
GAGGCUAAGACCCAAUCUCCUGAGUCACCCCCUGAAAAGCUAACCCCCUGUGCUGGUCAUUCAUUGAUAUCAUGGGAGCACAAACUUCUAUCAGUAGCUGGUCAUACAAAGGAUCCUUCUGAAGCUAUUCAGGUUAGGGUCUUUGAUGUACAAACCUCCACGUGGUCUAACUUGAAGACUUACGGAAAACCACCGGUAUGUACC